RNAcentral lists this ribosomal RNA (190 nucleotides) under uncultured Glomeromycotina. RNAcentral's name for it is "partial small subunit ribosomal RNA". It matches the Rfam family "Eukaryotic small subunit ribosomal RNA", at positions 892 to 1078 of the family's 1831-position model. The record is from RNAcentral. Lineage: Eukaryota; Fungi; Glomeromycota.
UAGUAUUCAAUUGUCAGAGGUGAAANCCUUGGAUUUAUUGAAGACUAACUACUGCGAAAGCAUUUGCCAAGGAUGUUUUCAUUAAUCAAGAACGAAAGUUAGGGGAUCGAAGACGAUCAGAUACCGUCGUAGUCUUAACCAUAAACUAUGCCGACUAGGGAUCGGAUGAUGUUAAUUUUUUAAUGACUCA